Molecule: long non-coding RNA, 2699 nt
Organism: Megachile rotundata (alfalfa leafcutting bee)
Lineage: Eukaryota; Metazoa; Arthropoda; Insecta; Hymenoptera; Megachilidae
Source: RefSeq, a predicted model, not a curated record
CUGAAUGCUCAAUUCCUACAUCUCUCAACUCCUUAAUUUUUAAAUCUCCAACUUCCAAAUGUUCAAAAAUUUCAGUCAUACCCCCUACAAGAUGUCUAUUCUAUUAAUACUAAAGUCUCCAGACAAAAAUGACGCCAAUGCGCAUGCGUAAGAAAGAAGGGCAUCGAACGUGAAUACAAGCAAAGGAAUCAGCGAGUUUCGUCGUUCGCUUAUUUAUAUGUUAAUAUUUAUGUUGAUAAAGAAAGUUAAUACACAAGAAAUUUUUGUUAAUAUAGAAAGCGUGUUAAGCACGUAAACGCAUUAUCGUAAGUAGUACCAUUAAAGAUACAAAUGUAAUAUUCUAACGACGAUUAUUAUUUUUAUUAUACACCGUUUAAUCGCCUUUCACAGGGUUGUUUUUCGUUUUCCCGUUAAGGAACAAAGUAUAUUUAAUAAUUUUCUUUUUGUUCUCUCCCUUUUUUGUACAAAAUAAACGAAGAAUUCGUAUUAAGGUUUUAUCACAAGCUCAAUUCAGCGUUGUAUUUAAUUGAAUAAUACGAUAAUGAUUAAUGGUCCAAAGACGAUUCUAAGAAUCGUCAGCCAGAUAUAUUUUUAUUUAUUCUUGCGAUUUGAUCGAGAACUGUAGGGUGACAAAGAAUCUUUGAAAGUUCAACUAUCUUCAGAAACCUUUUCUUUUCGAAGAACAUGCGUACUUUUUUUUUAACGGAGGCACUUUGUUUUAUUGUUGAAAAUAACGCGACAAGAGUUUAUCCGUAUGUCCGAUGUAUUUGAGAAUAUUAAUAUUUCGAAUAAUAUAAAUGAUAAAAAUUGUAUGAUAUCAAGAACAUGCUUGUGUCUGACUUUGCGAUGACCUUGAACGUCCUGUAAAAGUCAUAUUAGAAUGUUUAAAUAAAAUAAUAUAUUCUUUACACGGACUUCGAAGCAUUUUGCGUAAAAAAUUAUUAAAAUGUAAUAUAAAAAAAGUGGAUAAAUCUUGACAUUAUAUAAUUUUUGUCCGAAAUUUUAUUUCGCGUCAUUCAUUUGAAAUACUUGUGCUCAAAUAAACCGGACAUGUUACAUUUCUGUUUUUCGAGUCACCGAUCUUUAGGUAGACUUCAACGAAGAUAAAAGAGAUAAAAUGAUAAGGUAUACGGAUAAGAAGAAGGUACGCACAGUUAGGCAUCGAUUUCCUGUCGAUUGCUCGAUGUCGAUUGUAGAGGAAAGAAUUUCCUUCUCGACACAUUCCAUGAUAAUACUAAUACUAAUACCCUGUAACAAAGCGAACUAAUUUUCUGUUUCUUGGACUCUCGAUCGUCCGCUUUACGAGGAUGUAAUACGUAUAAGUCUUCGGAUAAAAAACAAGCGAGUGCUCUGUGUAUAUACACGCACGCGCGUACACGUGUGAGGAUGAAUAUCGCGUACGUAAAUUUAAAGAAAAAGAAAACCAAACUGCAGAGCUAAUAUUUUUCUGUUCUCCUUACUUGCGUAAGCCUGUAAAAAAUACCUGUACCUUAAAUGUUUUUGUAAUGCUCGACGAAUAGCAUGCGCUGCGUUCUAUCACAACGACACGAGUUUUCCAAAUCAUUUUCUACGUUUCCAAGUGAUCUUCCGUGUCGCGAACGGGCAGGAUAUCGUGAAGGCGUUCGGUUUCUCGGAUAGGCGUUGAUUACCAAAAUACUCCAUUACUUCUAAGGGCGAUGUGUAUAAUUACCGAAACGAGUGAGAGGAUUCAUAUUUUUUAGCGUUUAGAGGGAGAAACUAAGUAGCGAUAUAAUAACUGUUGCAAUGAGGAUUACGGUUGCCAAUGUUAAGCGUAACAGAAAAUGAUUGUGAUUUAUUUUGCAUCGAUGUUGGUGAAAUACGAUGAUCACUAUCGGUAAGAUAUGCUAUACAGAAAUAUAUACCGAGUGCUAUGUAAUUGGUGGUACAAGUGCGAUGCUGAUAGGAAUAGUAAUUGACAAUGUGUAUAAUUUAACAUAGUACAAAAUUAAUAUUAUUUUUAAAUAUAGCUGAGUUGAAGAUAUACAAUAAAAAUAAUAAUCUAUAAAGAGUGCUUUUACAAAAAAUUGUUACUCUACAUUUUCUAUUUAUAUUUUGUUCCACCAAUGGUUGUUCCACCAAUUACACAGUACCCAUGCAGGGUGACCUUACAACUUUGUUCACCUGAAAUAUCAUUGUUAUUAUAAAUAACAGGUGAAAAUGUUGCUUAUAAAAAUUAUAAAGAAAAUCAAUAAUUUCUUUAAAGGUGUACCUUCUAGGUAAAUUUUGUUUUCCAAAUAGAAUAUUCAAACUUCAAUAGAAUAAUUUUGAGUAUGAAAGAACUGAAAUGCAUUAUAGUCUACAGUCUUUAGAUAUAAUUUAAGAAAACAAUGAUGGGUCGGACAAAGGUGACUCACCCUGUAAAUUGCUCGUUAAGAUUAUUGUAUAAUCUUGCGUGUUGCGACAGCAGAAAUGUUCAGAAAAUCUGUUUCUCACCGCGUUCGUUUCUGAACAUUAGCUAGGACCUGCGAAUAAGAGUUGGUCCCCUGAGUUAGCGUUUCGUUUUCUUUUAAAAUACUAAAUGUUCGAUUGAUUCGAACCGCGCGAACAGAAAAAGUAAUUUAUAUUUAAUAAUUUUCGCUGACCGACGACAAGCAGCGUUUUAUCCUUGUAUAAAAAUCUACUAAGAUUGUAAUGGAGGCGAGACUGGAUCGCUCUAAUUGUAGCUAUAACGGAUUCAU